GAAAACUGCUGUGGAAAACUCAGCCAGAAGCUAGCAAGUGUCAAGUGAAUCCAUAACAUCACCACAAACGUCUUUUCAAGCCAGGCAACCUCAGCGUGAAGAGAUCCAGAAGGUAGCAGCCACACUGCAGGAAAAAUGCCCCCAUGUGACCAUCAAUGAGGAUGCAUUGUUUGACGAGGUUACUGGCCUGCAAGAGUUCCUAAAGGGGGGAUCGCUUGAAGAAUGGAAAACAUCGGAGACACCGCUUAGUCAGAGAUGGAGCACGGUGGUUACCCACUUCAAAAAGAACGACAUCCCACACACUAACCUGGCUAGAUUAGCGUCUGUUGUCAUGUGCUUACCUGGAAGUAAUACACCAGUCGAGAGAGUGUUCUCCCAAAUGAAUGAUAUAUGGACAGCAACAAGAAAUAGGUUCACUGUUCCUACCAUCAAGGCCAUGCUUAUUGUGAAGACAAACUUCAACCUCCCCUGCCAGGAGUUAAUGGAGAAGCUGGCCAAAGACAGAGCAAUCCUGAAUAAGAUACAUUCUUCUGAGAAAUAUACAGAUUAGACUACCAGGACCACUGAAUGGCUGUUCAGAUCGGACAGUUCUGUCUUGUCUGUAGUGUUUCUGUAAUAUAGUUGUUUUCUCUGUCUAUCACAGUGUGCCCGUUAGACUAAAUACAUGAAACCGGAAUUGUCCCCUUUUUUUAUUUCAUAGAUAAUAACAUUGGAUAUUUUAAUGAUAUAUUGACCGCCGAACUGGAAAUGUCCCCGGUUUAAAUUUCAGAAAUCUGGUUACCUUACACUACAUAGGGUGGUGCGGACAGAACCAGUACAUCAUCCAGGACCUCUAAAUUAGGUGGUGUACGUGACAUUAAACCAUAAAACUUUUCUAACUUCACAUGCAAUACCUAGGCUAGUUCUGCACCCCUAAACAAAUAAAAAAGGUCUUAAUGUGUGUUCCUGUAAACAUAAUUGCUAGCUAGCUAGUUUUCCCCCCCAAAAACAAAAGCAAUGCUUUAACUGAAAUGUAAUAUACUCUUUACUAACUAGUAUAUGCUUUUAUUUUAGCUGCUUAGUUAGCAUGCUAGAUUCGCUAGCUACCUCAGCUUUGCCAGUCCUGGUAGACAGUUAGCCUAACGUUAGCAAGCUAGCCUAAAUAACAGCUGCUGGCAAUGGCUGGCUUGCUAACACAGGCUUAUAAACUGGUUCGCCAAAAGAAAGUUUCACUCAGUAUCAGAGGAUCAUGAGAAAUGUAAACAUUUGGCAAAAAGUGUUACCCACCUGAAUGUUCUUCGCUUCAAAUUCACUACAAAAGAGCACCUGUUGGGUGGGGCAAGACGAAAUGUAAACAACUUGGUUGCAACAUAGCUACUAGCCAGCUAGCAUUAGCAAGCUAGCAUAAAACCAGUUGCUGAAGUGAAACCUCUUUUGCGGACACGCUGGUUGUUGUGAACGCAUGCUUGGUAGAUGCACAAAUAUUAUUUUUGUAUAUUAACAUUGCAUUAUUAUGAAAGUUAAAUGUGAGAUGGAUGCAUGCUUUGCAGCCGCCAUAGCUAGCUAGCUAACCUUUUAACUCGAGUGACCUCUCAACUCCUUACUCUCACCCAAGCACAUGCCAUCAGGGGACCCUGUUUAUGUGGGCUGGGUGAGGAAAAGUGGACAGCAGGCCUGCUGUGUUGAAGGCUCGAAGGGGACUCGAACAGCUUUAUCAGACUCCCUCCUCUAAUCAAAGUGCAUAAGAGAGAAGAAGAUAGUGUUGGUGAUUAUGUGUAUUUGUGAUGCAAAUAAUUAGCAAUCAACUGUAUGUCAUAAUGAUUGUGAUCUGGAAUCUCUGCUCCAAGCCU
Molecule: long non-coding RNA, 1829 nt
Organism: Salvelinus namaycush (lake trout)
Lineage: Eukaryota; Metazoa; Chordata; Actinopteri; Salmoniformes; Salmonidae
Exons: 3
Source: RefSeq, a predicted model, not a curated record